GACAGAGGGUGCAAGCGUUAUCCGGAAUGAUUGGGCGUAAAGCGUCCGCAGGUGGCUAUGUAAGUCUGCUGUUAAAGAGCAAAGCUUAACUUUGUAAAAGCAGUGGAAACUACAUAGCUAGAGUGCGUUCGGGGCAGAGGGAAUUCCUGGUGUAGCGGUGAAAUGCGUAGAGAUCAGGAAGAACACCGGUGGCGAAGGCGCUCUGCUAGGCCGCAACUGACACUGAGGGACGAAAGCUAGGGGAGCGAAUGGG
RNAcentral lists this ribosomal RNA (253 nucleotides) under uncultured bacterium. RNAcentral describes it as "partial 16S ribosomal RNA". It matches the Rfam family "Bacterial small subunit ribosomal RNA", at positions 524 to 776 of the family's 1533-position model. The record is from RNAcentral.